This 747-nucleotide ribosomal RNA is filed under the name uncultured archaeon. RNAcentral describes it as "bacterial SSU rRNA". It matches the Rfam family "Archaeal small subunit ribosomal RNA", at positions 109 to 861 of the family's 1478-position model. The record is from RNAcentral.
CUGCCCUGCGGUGAGGGAUAACUCCGGGAAACUGGAGAUAAUACCUCAUAGUUUACCAUCGCUGGAAUGCCUGGUAAGCGAAAGGUCCGCCGCCACAGGAUGGGUCUGCGGCCGAUUAGGUUGUUGUUGGGGUAACGGCCCAACAAGCCUGUGAUCGGUACGGGUUGUGGGAGCAAGAGCCCGGAGAUGGAUUCUGAGACACGAAUCCAGGCCCUACGGGGCGCAGCAGGCGCGAAAACUUUACAAUGCAGGCAACUGUGAUAAGGGAACCCCGAGUGCCCGUAUGGACGGGCUGUUCAGGUGCUUAAAAACCACCUGGAGAAAGGGCCGGGCAAGACCGGUGCCAGCCGCCGCGGUAAUACCGGCGGCUCGAGUGGUGGCCACUAUUACUGGGCUUAAAGCGUCCGUAGCUUGGUCGUUAAGCCUCUGGGGAAAUCUUCCGGCUCAACCAGAAGGCGUCUCAGGGGAACUGGCGGCCUAGGGAUCGGGAGAGGUGAGAGGUACUCUGGGGGUAGGAGUGAAAUCCUGUAAUCCUCAGGGGACCACCUGUGGCGAAGGCGUCUCACCAGAACGACUCCGACAGUGAGGGACGAAAGCUGGGGGAGCAAACCGGAUUAGAUACCCGGGUAGUCCCAGCCGUAAACGAUGCGCGUUAGGUGUAUCGGUGACCACGAGUUACCGAGGUGCCGAAGGGAAACCGUGAAACGCGCCGCCUGGGAAGUACGGUCGCAAGGCUGAAACUUAAAG